This 1584-nucleotide long non-coding RNA is filed under the name Helianthus annuus (common sunflower). RNAcentral describes it as "hypothetical non coding rna". The record is from RNAcentral. Lineage: Eukaryota; Viridiplantae; Streptophyta; Magnoliopsida; Asterales; Asteraceae.
CCCACGGUUUCCACCCAUCGCACGCACCUCUUCGCUCGAAAUGCAAAUUAUAUAUCCAGAUCAAAACUGCGAAUUGUAUUCUUGGAACGGAAAUCGAUACUCAAUGAUUUGGUUCUUCGCUAAUUGUUCUGGUCUUAAAUUGAUCAAAUACAUCGAAUGAGCAAUUAGUGUCACUGCUAUUGAUUUUUUCAUAAAAUUUGUUUCUGAGUUUUGAUGCCCAAAACAGGGGAUAUGAUCAGAUUUUUGUUCUUUGUUUGAAUCUUGGAACCAAGGAUCUGUAAAAAGCAACCUUAAUCCUGAACACACUCAAAUAUGCAUAUCUGUUUCGUACGUGAAUUGACAGUAAGUUUGUUCUACAAACAAUAUAGGAAUUAAACAUGUUCGAUUUUAUCUAAAACGUCGGUCUAGAAAUUAAGAUUUGGCAAUUAUCCAAAAAGAGAAGAAUUUAAGGCACCAUUUGAAAACAACGUCCUCUUCUUCAUAUUGGUAUCGAUACCCGAAUCAAAGAAUUGAUAUUCAAUUUGUCGUUUGAAGUUCCGUCAAAACUCUGAUCUCGGAGAGAGGUUAUUGAUUCGUUAAACUAUGUUAUUGUUUUUUUUUUUGGGGGGGGGGGGGUUGUUCAAUUAUUUGGGUAAAAGUUGAAAGUUUAUUCAGUUUUUAUUGAUUUGUUGGGGAUUUAUGAUUUAUUUUUUAGGGGUUCAUAGUUGGUUAGCGAAUCAAGUUAAUUAACUUUGAAGGAAUUCAAAAUUUUAAUAGUUUUCGUCUGUCUCAGAUGUUGGAAACUUUUUAUAGAAUUAAUGUUGGUGCUUUAAAGCUAAUGCCUUCUAAUGACACCCGUUGAAGAUAUUGGGUUGCUGAUGAAGAGUUUUUAUCUAUAAAAUCAUCUGCACAUGUACUAAAUUAUCAAAAAGGGGUGCUUUUAAAGAAGUGGCUCCUGAUAAUUUUUAUAUGACUGCUCAAGAAAAGUAGAAGCAAUCUGAGUAUAGAUUCUGUGUUUAAUGUGACAAGGGGGUUUUCGGUUGAUUCGGAUCACGGUGUGACGUAUUUUGUUAGAUUGCAUUUUUGUGAUAUAGAGUUUGUCAUUGAAUCGGUUUUAUUUCUAAGUGUUUGUUAACCGGUACCCUUUGGCCCAUCGGAUUUGAGUGCUAGAAAGGGAUUUGGAGAUGUCAAUGAAUUCGGCGAUAAGAUCCAUGCGUGGUUGCAGUUCCAGUUCCGAACUCAUGUCGAAACGGAUUCUUAAAUGAUGAGGUACGCUGUAAACCAAAUGGUAAACAAGCUUAAAAAGAAAGUGUGGGAGACAAUGUUUAUGUUGACAUGCUGGAAAAUCUGGAUGGGCAAAUACAUAUGAUUUUUAAACUUAUUUUUACCCCUACUCACAAGAUAGUUUAGGGCAUAAAAUAAAAUUCACUUUGGUGGAUACAGAAUAGAACAAAAUGGAAGCAUUGCAAUUAGUUUAAAUAAGUUUCCCAAAAUUGUAACUUACUCAUAGUUUUGAUCUUCUGUUUUAUUUUUAUUUUUCUAAAUUUAAUCAUCAUCAACAACCAUGUAAAUAAGUUAAUUUUAUCUCAUGCGUUGACUAAAAUU